This 301-nucleotide ribosomal RNA is filed under the name uncultured bacterium. RNAcentral describes it as "partial 16S ribosomal RNA". It matches the Rfam family "Bacterial small subunit ribosomal RNA", at positions 509 to 807 of the family's 1533-position model. The record is from RNAcentral.
CAGCCGCCGCGGGAAAACGUAGGGUGCAAGCGUUAAUCGGAAUUACUGGGCGUAAAGCGUGCGCAGGCGGCUAUGCAAGACAGAUGUGAAAUCCCCGGGCUCAACCUGGGAACUGCAUUUGUGACUGCAUGGCUAGAGUACGGUAGAGGGGGAUGGAAUUCCGCGUGUAGCAGUGAAAUGCGUAGAUAUGCGGAGGAACACCGAUGGCGAAGGCAAUCCCCUGGACCUGUACUGACGCUCAUGCACGAAAGCGUGGGGAGCAAACAGGAUUAGAUACCCGUGUAGUCCCUGUCUCUUAUAC